AGCGGCUGACAAAAAGCAAAGGGCCAGACCCUUGUGUGUCAGCCCUUUUUUGCUUUUGGCAGCAGCUCGUUCGUUUAGCAGAGCCAA
RNAcentral lists this non-coding RNA (87 nucleotides) under Bacillus methanolicus MGA3. The record is from RNAcentral. Lineage: Bacteria; Bacillati; Bacillota; Bacilli; Caryophanales; Bacillaceae.